This is a long non-coding RNA of Peromyscus californicus insignis, 2469 nucleotides long. RefSeq lists it as uncharacterized. NCBI's taxonomy places the organism in Eukaryota, Metazoa, Chordata, Mammalia, Rodentia, Cricetidae. The transcript is spliced from 3 exons. The record is from RefSeq and is a predicted model, not a curated record.
ACGUCGUGGGUACCGGAGGCUCCUGUCAGAGGCAAAGUGACACGAAGACAGAUGUGUCGUGGGGGCAUUCAACACCUCCAGCUGCAUCUUCUCCAUUGUCUCUGCUAGAGUUCCCAAGCCCUGUUGACAGACAGCCUCCUGGCCCUUGGAUUUCUCUGGACACAGCCCUGGAUGUCUAGGGAUGCUGUUUGAUUCUCUCAGGCUGAAGUGAGUGAAGACAUUUGACAAGGGAAUUCAAGUGUGCUGGAUCCCAGGACUCUGAGUGUGAUGAACUUUCAAUGUCCUGCAACUGGAUACUGCCUGGGAGCAUUGUGACCUAUCAGUGAUGCCACUCCUGAGCCUCUCAACACCUCCAUGGAAUCUGCACCAAGGCUUAUGCUGGCAGCAGAGGAAGAGGAAUUCCAGAGAGCAUGUGAUGUCCUGGCAAGGAGAGGCAAGCCUUCCUACCUUACCUCACCCAGGUUCUGAAGUGUCGUCCCACUCUGCGAACAUGAGUGCUUCGGGCAGCCCCCAACAGCUACUUUGAACGCAUUCACCCCAGGCAACGGGUGCCUUGCUGACCCCACUACACUGCAGUUCCCCUAUUUGUCCAUUGAGAUUCUCCUUGCCAACUGGGGAGACCUCUGUGCAGAUUGUACGAGAUCAUCUUUGGCACUGAGAAAGGGCUGAGUCUGUCCCCUCAGCUCCUCCUAGCCUCCAGAGCCAGGACCCCUCAAAUUUUUCAGAUGAGGAGGUGCUGGAAAGGAGCCACUCCUCCUGAUCAGGUAAGCCUGUUGAGUUCCCGUGGGGCCCCAGGGACUGAAGGUCAGUGAGGAGCCUGGGCUUGCCCUUCAGAGCCCUCAUGGUGUGUCUUCUGUAGUGACAGCUCAUCUUUCCUGCUCUUACAUGUCAUGGGCCCCUCUUUCAAACCAUGCUCAGUGGCACAGUCAACACAUGCCCAUGGAGUUAGAGGAAAGCAGGUGUGGAUGACAGCAGAGAGUCUGGGCCUGAUCUGUGGAAAGGGCAUGUAUGGAUAUAAGCCUGGCAGAAGAAUGCAUGCUCUGUCCAUGGGCAUGCUGGGCCUCUGGUGCCCAGAAGAAUGCAUGCUCUGUACAUGGGCAUGCUGGGCCUCUGUGCCCAUCAAAAAGAGUGCUCUGUGUGCCUGUCUUCCCACAUACUGUCAUGAGAGAGUGGGUAUCCAGCUCUCCAGAGUCACCCUGUUCCAUCUCUGCUAAGAUGGGACUGUCACCAUGCUGCUAGUAUUGACAUUUGAGAAUUCAGGCUUCCUAGCCCACAUUGGGCUUGGAUGUAGCCUAGACAUUAGAUCAUUGGUUAAUCUUCUAAGACAAUUCUACCACGUGGCUAUGGAAGGUGAGGAGGGUGGACAACCCACUGAAUUAGAGAAGACAUGUUACCUGACUCUAGGACAAAGGCAAUAAAAUCAGGCAAUCCUGCCUGGUCCAUCCUGGAGUCCAGAGAUAGCUGUAGCUAGGAAGUCUAACAGGCUGGUGUGGCUCUCGGGGGCUGACUGCUGGCUCUUGCCCUGCCCAUACUGAAGGCCUGUGUGUGUUUAGGGGAGGUGAGUCAAUAUGCACAGGGUGAAUGAGUAGACAAGAUGGACAUAUUUUCUCCUGCUGGUCAACCUUCCAGGCUCCAGGGACAGGCUGUCAAUGAUGCGAUUAACAAUGGUGCCAAUUCUGUGUAAAUGAGCUGAUGUCUGCCCCGUGGAGCACAGCGUCCUGCUGCCUAGCUGUCAGGAGACCCACAACUCCCAGGCCAGAACUGUAGCUGCCCGGGAAGGUGACCAGUGACUGCAGCCAAACAGCCAGCCCGGGGCCUCAUUUCCAUGCUGUAAUCCCAUAAGCAAAUAGUUUGAUUGUAUUAGUUGAGGGUAAUUUUUCACACUUCACAGUAGCUGCUCAGUUUGCUUCUGGAUUCUGCUGACUCUUCGAAGAAUUUGCACAAUAAAAUAAUGGAAAAGUACAGUAACCAGUGAAGCUAGACCCCAGAUCUCAUUCAAUCAAACCCUUGGAGCAGCAAGUGCUAAUGGGCCUGCUCAACCCUCUUGCCUUCUAUGCUCUGGACUGCAGUUUUUUUCCCUGGUAUGUAUUGUGGGGCUGACUUUUCAACUCACGUGUGCAGCCAUCAAGACAUCCAUGCUCCUUCCAUCCAGCUUUAUUAGCUGGGCCUUCACACCGUGCACACUCCUGAACCUCUAAGUUGUCCACCCUGAUGGGACCUUCCAAAGCGAAGGUGUGGAGGUAGGAAGAAAGUCUUGCAUCCAGAUUCUAUGUCCUUGGGCUGGAAAUGAGCCCUGUGGACAGGCAUGGAGAAGGUUGAAGGCAGCCUUUGUGGACUCCUAGAGCCACUUAAGAUGAGAUGCAGACAGAAGGAAAGAGGGAAGAAGGAAGGAGGGAGGGAGGAAGGAAGGAAAGAAGGAAGGAAGGAAGCAGGCAGGGAGGGAGGCAGGGUGAGAGGGAGAGAAGGAGA